RNAcentral lists this ribosomal RNA (451 nucleotides) under uncultured bacterium. Its description in RNAcentral is "partial 16S ribosomal RNA". It matches the Rfam family "Bacterial small subunit ribosomal RNA", at positions 354 to 796 of the family's 1533-position model. The record is from RNAcentral.
GUGGGGAAUAUUGGACAAUGGGCGAAAGCCUGAUCCAGCCAUGCCGCGUGUGUGAAGAAGGUCUUCGGAUUGUAAAGCACUUUAAGCGAGGAGGAGGCUACCGAGAUUAAUACUCUUGGAUAGUGGACGUUACUCGCAGAAUAAGCACCGGCUAACUCUGUGCCAGCAGCCGCGGUAAUACAGAGGGUGCAUGCGUUAAUCGGAUUUACUGGGCGUAAAGCGCGCGUAGGUGGCCAAUUAAGUCAAAUGUGAAAUCCCCGAGCUUAACUUGGGAAUUGCACUCGAUACUGGUUGGCUAGAUUAUGGGAGAGGAUGGUAGAAUGCCAGGUGUAGCGGUGAAAUGCGUAGAGAUCUGGAGGAAUACCGAUGGCGAAGGCAGCCAUCUGGCCUAAUACUGACACUGAGGUGCGAAAGCAUGGGGAGCAAACAGGAUUAGAUACCCCUGUAGUCC